UGAGAGGAUGGUUUUCAGAGGGCAUUCAAUC
RNAcentral lists this non-coding RNA (31 nucleotides) under Mus musculus (house mouse). Lineage: Eukaryota; Metazoa; Chordata; Mammalia; Rodentia; Muridae. The record is from RNAcentral.